GACGAACGCUGGCGGCGUGCUUAACACAUGCAAGUCGAACGGAAAGGCCCUUCGGGGUGCUCGAGUGGCGAACGGGUGAGUAACACGUGGGUGAUCUGCCCUGCACUUUGGGAUAAGCCUGGGAAACUGGGUCUAAUACCGAAUACACCCUGCUGGUCGCAUGGCCUGGUGGGGGAAAGCUUUUGCGGUGUGGGAUGGGCCCGCGGCCUAUCAGCUUGUUGGUGGGGUUAUGGCCUACCAAGGCGACGACGGGUAGCCGGCCUGAGAGGGUGACCGGCCACACUGGGACUGAGAUACGGCCCAGACUCCUACGGGAGGCAGCAGUGGGGAAUAUUGCACAAUGGGCGCAAGCCUGAUGCAGCGACGCCGCGUGAGGGAUGACGGCCUUCGGGUUGUAAACCUCUUUCAGUAGGGACGAAGCGCAAGUGACGGUACCUAUAGAAGAAGGACCGGCCAACUACGUGCCAGCAGCCGCGGUAAUACGUAGGGUCCGAGCGUUGUCCGGAAUUACUGGGCGUAAAGAGCUCGUANGUGGUUUGUCGCGUUGUUCGUGAAAACUCACAGCUCAACUGUGGGCGUGCGGGCGAUACGGGCAGACUGGAGUACUGCAGGGGAGACUGGAAUUCCUGGUGUAGCGGUGGAAUGCGCAGAUAUCAGGAGGAACACCGGUGGCGAAGGCGGGUCUCUGGGCAGUAACUGACGCUGAGGAGCGAAAGCGUGGGGAGCGAACAGGAUUAGAUACCCUGGUAGUCCACGCCGUAAACGGUGGGUACUAGGUGUGGGUUUCCUUCCUUGGGAUCCGUGCCGUAGCUAACGCAUUAAGUACCCCGCCUGGGGAGUACGGCCGCAAGGCUAAAACUCAAAGAAAUUGACGGGGGCCCGCACAAGCGGCGGAGCAUGUGGAUUAAUUCGAUGCAACGCGAAGAACCUUACCUGGGUUUGACAUGCACAGGACGCUGGUAGAGAUAUCAGUUCCCUUGUGGCCUGUGUGCAGGUGGUGCAUGGCUGUCGUCAGCUCGUGUCGUGAGAUGUUGGGUUAAGUCCCGCAACGAGCGCAACCCUUAUCUUAUGUUGCCAGCACGUUAUGGUGGGGACUCGUGAGAGACUGCCGGGGUCAACUCGGAGGAAGGUGGGGAUGACGUCAAGUCAUCAUGCCCCUUAUGUCCAGGGCUUCACACAUGCUACAAUGGCCGGUACAAAGGGCUGCGAUGCCGUGAGGUGGAGCGAAUCCUUUCAAAGCCGGUCUCAGUUCGGAUCGGGGUCUGCAACUCGACCCCGUGAAGUCGGAGUCGCUAGUAAUCGCAGAUCAGCAACGCUGCGGUGAAUACGUUCCCGGGCCU
RNAcentral lists this ribosomal RNA (1340 nucleotides) under uncultured bacterium. RNAcentral describes it as "bacterial SSU rRNA". It matches the Rfam family "Bacterial small subunit ribosomal RNA", at positions 28 to 1381 of the family's 1533-position model. The record is from RNAcentral.